AGCGAACGCUGGCGGCAGGCCUAAUACAUGCAAGUCGAACGGUCUCUUCGGAGGCAGAGGCGGACGGGUGAGUAACGCGUGGGAAUAUGCCCUUUGGUACGGAACAACUGAGGGAAACUUCAGCUAAUACCGUAUGUGCCCUUCGGGGGAAAGAUUUAUCGCCAUUGGAGUAGCCCGCGUUGGAUUAGGUAGUUGGUGGGGUAAAGGCCUACCAAGCCUACGAUCCAUAGCUGGUCUGAGAGGAUGAUCAGCCACACUGGGACUGAGACACGGCCCAGACUCCUACGGGAGGCAGCAGUAGGGAAUCUUGCGCAAUGGGCGAAAGCCUGACGCAGCCAUGCCGCGUGAAUGAUGAAGGUCUUAGGAUUGUAAAAUUCUUUCACCGGGGGAAGAUAAUGACGGUACCCGGAGAAGAAGCCCCGGCUAACUUCGUGCCAGCAGCCGCGGUAAU
Molecule: ribosomal RNA, 451 nt
Filed under: uncultured bacterium
Lineage: Bacteria
Description: bacterial SSU rRNA
Rfam family: Bacterial small subunit ribosomal RNA
Source: RNAcentral